GAUGAACGCUAGCGACAGGCUUAACACAUGCAAGUCGAGGGGCAGCACAGGUAGCAAUACCGGGUGGCGACCGGCACACGGGUGAGUAACGCGUAUGCAACUUGCCUAUCAGAGGGGGAUAACCCGGCGAAAGUCGGACUAAUACCGCAUGAAGCAGGGGCCCCGCAUGGGGAUAUUUGCUAAAGAUUCAUCGCUGAUAGAUAGGCAUGCGUUCCAUUAGGCAGUUGGCGGGGUAACGGCCCACCAAACCGACGAUGGAUAGGGGUUCUGAGAGGAAGGUCCCCCACAUUGGUACUGAGACACGGACCAAACUCCUACGGGAGGCAGCAGUGAGGAAUAUUGGUCAAUGGGCGUAAGCCUGAACCAGCCAAGUCGCGUGAGGGAUGAAGGUUCUAUGGAUCGUAAACCUCUUUUAUAAGGGAAUAAAGUGCGGGACGUGUCCCGUUUUGUAUGUACCUUAUGAAUAAGGAUCGGCUAACUCCGUGCCAGCAGCCGCGGUAAUACGGAGGAUCCGAGCGUUAUCCGGAUUUAUUGGGUUUAAAGGGUGCGUAGGCGGCCUUUUAAGUCAGCGGUGAAAGUCUGUGGCUCAACCAUAGAAUUGCCGUUGAAACUGGGGGGCUUGAGUAUGUUUGAGGCAGGCGGAAUGCGUGGUGUAGCGGUGAAAUGCUUAGAUAUCACGCAGAACCCCGAUUGCGAAGGCAGCCUGCCAAGCCAUUACUGACGCUGAUGCACGAAAGCGUGGGGAUCAAACAGGAUUAGAUACCCUGGUAGUCCACGCAGUAAACGAUGAUCACUAGCUGUUUGCGAUACACUGUAAGCGGCACAGCGAAAGCGUUAAGUGAUCCACCUGGGGAGUACGCCGGCAACGGUGAAACUCAAAGGAAUUGACGGGGGCCCGCACAAGCGGAGGAACAUGUGGUUUAAUUCGAUGAUACGCGAGGAACCUUACCCGGGUUUGAACGCAUUUUGACAGCUCUGGAAACAGAGCCUCUAGCAAUAGCGAUUUGCGAGGUGCUGCAUGGUUGUCGUCAGCUCGUGCCGUGAGGUGUCGGCUUAAGUGCCAUAACGAGCGCAACCCUUGCCACUAGUUACUAACAGGUAAAGCUGAGGACUCUGGUGGGACUGCCAGCGUAAGCUGCGAGGAAGGCGGGGAUGACGUCAAAUCAGCACGGCCCUUACAUCCGGGGCGACACACGUGUUACAAUGGCGUGGACAAAGGGAGGCCACCUGGCGACAGGGAGCGAAUCCCCAAACCACGUCUCAGUUCGGAUCGGAGUCUGCAACCCGACUCCGUGAAGCUGGAUUCGCUAGUAAUCGCGCAUCAGCCAUGGCGCGGUGAAUGCGUUCCCGGGCCU
RNAcentral lists this ribosomal RNA (1355 nucleotides) under uncultured bacterium. RNAcentral describes it as "bacterial SSU rRNA". It matches the Rfam family "Bacterial small subunit ribosomal RNA", at positions 28 to 1381 of the family's 1533-position model. The record is from RNAcentral.